Molecule: non-coding RNA, 899 nt
Organism: Pelobates cultripes (western spadefoot toad)
Lineage: Eukaryota; Metazoa; Chordata; Amphibia; Anura; Pelobatidae
Source: the annotation of a GenBank genome assembly
GCUGAAUGUGGUCAGGUGACACACUUAGCCAAUCACAGCUGCCCACUGCUUCAGUCUAAGGGGUUUAUUACCCAAAGCAUCACAGAGAAGAAUGGGCUUCUGUGAACUCUAAUUUUGCAUUAAAACAUUAAAAAUGGUUUAACGGUGAAUAAAAGAAUGGUGCCAGGGGACUUCAGACACUAUAACCACUACAAUGAGAUGAAGCAGUUAUGGUACCUACAGUGUUCUUUUUUUUAAUUUAUUUUUCAUAUUCUUUAGUUUUGGUGUGCAGUGUAAAAUACAAGCGUUGGCAUUGACCCUUUGCUUAAAAUUAAAGAUAACAAGAUGUACUUACAUUGAGUCAAGAUAUUCUGAAAGGAGAUAAGAAAGUAACAAGAUAUAAAAAAAACAAUAAGAGUUAUGACAGGCUUAUUACUCCUGGAAGGAGCCCCCACUCCAAGUCUAAUGGAUACAGCGACUAAAGAGAAAGGGCUGACUAUAUUGGACAUCAAAGAAUUGCACCCAGCAAUACACUCUUGUAGGCAUUCAGCUGUAGUGAGUAACCGUUCAGUCCCAGAGCCUGUCUUAGCCUAUGCCUGCUAGGGGCACAACACAGUCCUAGAGUGAAGAGGCACACUGCAUGUCACCUUGCCAAGGUGCAAUCUGGUAGGUUGGGUCUCGUAUCUUGUGUGUGUGUUUCUGCUCAGCCCUUCAGGUUCUGUUUGCGAUCCUGCAUGUGAUUGCUUGGGUGGUUGCUUCGGCGCCACCUUGAGGCUAUACACUGUACAUCGCUUAAUCCGCCGCCAUGAUUGGAUUUGUACAGCUGGAGAUGCCAAUGGCUUGGGAAGAGACUGUUGAGGUAAGACCAGGUCAGAAGAAGCCCAGGAGGCGGGCGAAACUCGUCACGUGUGACAUCAGAG